ACCGGAACUGCUGUACCACGAACCAGGCAGAAACGAUGAUGAUGAGCGGGGAUUUGCAGUAGCACAACUUUGUGGAGCAGCAAGGACGCUCCGUUCAAAACAAAAAUGGCGUUCAGCAAGUCGAACCAUGCACCGGUCAGCGUCGGUGCAUGGUGCUUUCGAUCGAGUUGGCUCAAGGAGUGUCCGAAAAAUUAGACGAGAGGUUGCAAGGUGUCCGAACUUUCGGCAGUUGUUAUACAUUAUGGUCUAUGGGGAGAAUGGCGGUGCAGCGAAGCAGACCGAAUAAUCGAGCAUGUCCGAGUUUUUGGAGUCCGAAAAAUUAGUCAGCGACUGUAUAAACAAAAACAGUGCCAUGAACUAAUCAAAUCAGGACAUUUGACACGCUCGACUCUAGGAGCCCUAUCGCGAAAGGUUUCAAGUCUCCACGCCGACCAUCUACCUUACACUACCAGAAGGAGUUCAUGGAACUAGCUGGGAGAGAACUGAUGGGGCUUGCGACUGGGGUCAAGAAAGCCAGUGGUCGAGGACAGACGAAGAAUGUCAGUCAUUUAUCUGGUGUUCACACUAGAGAGUGUAUCCCAGCUAUCAACAAAAAUCUUCAACAAAGAGCUGUGCAGGUACAUCUGCACCAGCCACUUAAACCAGGACCCACUCGAAAUGUAUUUCAGUUGCAUCAGACAGCGAGGUGGAUGGAACAGUAACCCAUCAGUAUUACAGUUCCAACAUGCUUACCAUAAAACGCUUGUCCAUGCAGUCAUCGCAUGUUCAAGAAACGCCAAUGCAACUCCACAGCUGGAGGAUAUCUGCCUGCCCAGGUGUCAGGCACAUGCCAGUGGCUUGCUCACUGCACAAAUCAAUGACGACGGCAAUGCAAGCAACACUGCACACUGCAGCACUGGGCAACCAACAACCACACUCACAGAAGAUGCAAUCGAUUGUGAUUGCUUUGCUUUAAACGAAUACUUGGGAGAAGUAGUGCAGUACAUUGGUGGUUUUGUAGUUAGAAGCAUAACAAAGAACCUCUCUUGUGCAGAGUGCACUGCUCUGCUUGUGUGUGACCCCGUGCACAGCUUGUUGACAACUCUGAAAGACAAUGGUGGCCUUAUUGAACCUUCAAAAUUUGUGCACACUGCAUUACAUGCUUCUGAGUGCAUCAUGCGUCAGCACACUGAUGUGCACAAAGAAAGCAUUGAGACAUUCACACUCGAGGCAUUUCAAGAGUUUGCUAACCGAAAUAGCAACAUGCUUCAGCAAAUACGCCAUUACCAUGAAGAACCACAACACAUUAUCAACCUUACAAAAGUGCUGCAGGCCAAAUAUGUAACACUGCCACUGCAAGCUAUUGGCCAACGAAUCACUGAACAGAGCAGAGGGGCAUACAUAAGGCAUAUAAUGACAAAAUAUGUACUGUUCCUGCAUCAGCAGGAGCGUGUGUAAGCAUGCUCAAAACAUCAGUGGCUGCGAGCGCCGGCUGUACACUGUUUGAGUAAUGCUAUUGAGAGGACACAGAUAGCGAAAGGAUAUAGGACUAACAAAAUCAAAGGUACUUAACAUGGCUGUCUCAUACAGGCCAUGAUCAGUAGUGCUGUGAACAAUGUAGUGUUCAGCAUGAUGUGUUCACAAACAGCAAUGUGCCAGACAACUUUAAGGUGCAUGCAUAGUGCAUACUGAAGUUAAACCACCGGUGCCUUACUGUAGGUGGUAAUAAAUGCAGGCCAAGUGUCGGUUUCACACUGGUGGAACAGGGCAGAUAUGACCAGUGUGCAAGUUACACAUAAGCUGCCACUUCAAUGAUCAGCCUCGCACAUAAAUGUAUAGACAACACAAUGAUAACCCCUCCUUUCAUGCUAAAUGGAUGAUGAGCGACUAGCUAGCCUGCCUCUCCAGUGUUGCUAUGUUCAUGUAACUAUGGAAUGCCAAGAAACACGCAGACAAUGUGCAAAACUUACCUAUCAGUUGCAGAUCUCAUCAUGCUGAACAGCAUAAGGCAAUGGUGCGAGGAGUGUGGAUUUUCUUAUGAAGAUGGUUAUUGAACUCAUCCAGUUAUCACCCCAUACUCUCAAAGGGGAGGGCAUGAGUCAAACCGUGGCCACUGAAGGCUUACUAGGUUGGUGCUCUACGUUUCCAUGCUUACGCAGUAAUGGAGCUGUCAGUCUGGUAUAGUGAAUUCUGCACCAUUGAAAUGCACAAAAUGAAUUAUUUCUUUAACUUUGCUUUUUGUUUUGGAGACAACAAUUUUGCAAAAACCUACAUUCUGCUGUGACACAUGACACCACAUGAUACAUGACAUGAUUGUAUGUCUGGUACAGUGCUUUUUAGGGUUUAGUAAUGCUAAAUGUGUAUCGUCUCCAUUGCUGAUGGGUGGCAAGAGCCCAGUCAAGCUGCAGUGUAACAGCUUUUUCUUCGGCCACCUUUUUUGCCUUGUAAAGUUGCGAAAUAAAGUUGCUUUGAUUGAUUGA
Molecule: long non-coding RNA, 2459 nt
Organism: Dermacentor albipictus
Lineage: Eukaryota; Metazoa; Arthropoda; Arachnida; Ixodida; Ixodidae
Source: RefSeq, a predicted model, not a curated record